AUAAAACCAUCGAGGGAAAAAGUAACCGGUACCCACAUAGUUCAGAGAAGAAGUGUCACGGCUGAGAACACUUCCCUAUGAUGCAUCGGUGAAAGACGUUUCUUAGGUGCCGUGCCGAACGUUAUUGGUAGGUGCGGACGUAAAGCCUGCGUUAAAGGUCCAAAGUGGAAGAAUUAUCUUCAAUUAGGGUGGCACCACGGGCAGUCCCGUCCCUUUU
Molecule: non-coding RNA, 217 nt
Filed under: Salimicrobium jeotgali
Lineage: Bacteria; Bacillati; Bacillota; Bacilli; Caryophanales; Bacillaceae
Description: T-box sequence
Rfam family: T-box leader
About the family: Uncharged tRNA acts as the effector for transcription antitermination of genes in the T-box leader family. T-boxes are found upstream of many aminoacyl-tRNA synthetase genes and some amino acid biosynthetic genes usually in Gram-positive bacteria.
Source: RNAcentral